This 26038-nucleotide long non-coding RNA is filed under the name Panax ginseng (ginseng). RNAcentral's name for it is "long non-coding RNA (PGIN_LNC003944)". The record is from RNAcentral. Lineage: Eukaryota; Viridiplantae; Streptophyta; Magnoliopsida; Apiales; Araliaceae.
CCCAAUUUUGGUCACAAGUUUCUUUGUAAAUGAAGUUAUUCUCAUUCUCAGACUUCUUGUUGAUUUCUCUGUGAAGUUCAAAAAUUGUGUGUGUGAGUAUUGUUGAGUAGAAGAGGAAGCCUGAGAUUGAAAGAAAAGAAUCAACUUCACAAAAGGUAAUGUCCAUUUACAUGUUCUGAAGUUCAAAUUGUAAGUUCUUAGGAAAUGCUAAAAUACUUAUUUUGAGUCAAAAAAUUUAUGAUUGAAGCAUGAUGUGAUGUAACAUUCCAGAAUUUUUAAAUGUAAUAUUAAAUAUUUAUUGAGUUAUAUAAAUAUUUAAUGGAUGGGACUAUCAGUAAAUGAAUAUUUGUUUAAUUGAUUUAAUAUUAUUUGGAGAAUUAUUUAUUAAAUAAAUAAUUGAUGAAUUAAGGAAAUGAUUAUUAUAUUGAUAUUUCAAUUAAAUGAUUAAUUAUUUGUAUUGUGUUAUGUGACUAAAGGAUUUAUUUAAUUAAUUGUUAUUUGAAUUAAUUUAACAUAAAUAUGAAAGCUUGAUUAAUAUAGUGCGACAAAUAACUAUAUUAUAAGGAGUUAUUAAAAUAAAUUAAAAUAGUUUUAAUUUAGUUUUAUCCAAACAAGGCUUAAUAUAUUAAUUCUUUAAAUUUUGAUUGUUUGAAUUGUGAUUCUGAGGACAGAAUCCUUUUAAGGAGGGAAUGAUGUAACAUUCCAGAAUUUUAAAUGUAAUUUUAAAUAUUUAUUGAGUUAUAUAAAUAUUUAAUGGAUGUGAUUAUCGGUAAAUGAAUAUUUGUUUAAUUGAUUUAAUAUUAUUUGGAGAAUUAUUUGUUAAAUAAAUAAUUGAUGAAUUUAAGGAAAUGAUUAUUAUAUUGAUAUUUCAAUUAAAUGAUUAAUUAUUUGUAUUGUGUUAUGUGACUAAAGGAUUUAUUUAAUUAAUUGUGAUUUGCAUUAAUUAAAAUAAAUAUGAAAGCUUGAUUAAAUAUAGUGUGACAAAUAACUAUAUUGUAAGGAGUUAUUAAAAUAAAUUAAAGUAGUUUUAAUUUAGUUUUAUCCAAACAAGGCUUAAUAUAUUAAUUCUUUAAAUUUAAAUGAUUUGCCAAACAAGCCUUAUGGCUUUUGAGAUUUCUAGAUAAAUAAAAUAAAUAAAAUCAAAUAAUAAAUAUAAUAUAUUUAUGUUAUAUAUGUUUAUCCUAAUAACUAAUGUUACUUAUUAUGUGUAUUAAGCCUAUGACAGUUUCUUUUGUUUACGCUUAAUAGUCAGUUAGUUUUUGCUAGCCUUGAGAGCUUCACAGAAAAUUGAGAGAAGGGUUGAGAGAGAAUUUGAGAGAAGCUUAGGAUUUCCACAACGAUUUCUGUGUUUAACAAUAAUUGUGUAUAAGAAAUUUGAAGGUAUGUUAACUCUAUAUUAUAUAUAUACAUAUAUAUGUUCUACGGCAACUAAUUGUAAAUUCUGUGAAUUGCAAAUUUAUUGAAUUGUUGCUUUACAAUGGAUUACUUGUGGUUAGAUAUGUUUAUGAUGAUAGAGUUUGUGUUUAAAUCAAAAUUUCAUGAUUAAUUUCGGAUAUUAGUAGACAUUUUUGACAGUAUAUGUAUUUUUCUAUAUGUUCAUGAAAAGUAUCAAUUUUAGUGGCCAAUUCGUACGAGAAAUUGUAAAUUGAAGUUUGUAUAUGGUAGUUCAUUGAGAUACGAACGUAACGUAACUUGAAUGAAGUAAACUGGACAAGAAUUGAAAUUUGAUUGGUAAUGAACAUGUUAUGAUAUGUAGCAUGUCUAAUAGGUAUUGUGGUUCUAAACCUAUAUAUAGGUGAACGUGAGUUUGAUAUUAUAGCUUACGCUCGAGGCAAGUCUUCUAACUCUAUACUUUCAUUGAGUUAGUUUGUUAUGUUUAUGCAAGUUUUCUAACUCUACACUUUCGUUGAGCUAGUUCGUUUAUUACAUUGUACAAGUUUUAACUCUACAUUUUCGUUGAGUUAGUUCUAUUAUUAUAAAUGCAUGCUUUUGAUUGAGCAAGUUUUUAUCUCAACUGUUAUUGAAUAAGUAAAUUGUUCUUAAAAUCCAUUUGAGCAAACUCAAACUCUAAUGUUAUUGGAAAUUCUCCAUUUGUUGAUUCAUUCUAACUUGUUUACAGUUAAGAAAGUUUCUUAAAGUUCAGGAAUUUCAUUUCUAGUAUUAUAAAACUUGAACCUAGCUUAUUUUACUGUUCAAGCAAAGGUUAACCGUUUUAUUCAUUCUAUUAAAUACUUAUGCUCUAUAGUUAUUUCAAGCAUGAGAUAGAUAUAUAGAAUCAGUUCAUUUAUGAUUCUCAAAUGUUCUAAGUUAUGUUGUUAUUAAAUAACUGUUGUAAUAUCAAACAUUGUGGAUUCAACUAGUUCCCUAGUUGAUGAUCUUUAAACUUCAAUUACCCUUGAAAGCUUAUCCAAACCAAACUUUCUUUGGUGCGGACUUGUACUCUAAAUACUGAGAUGAACAACCCUAUGUUUAGGGGUUUACGCUUAGCGUUGAAAUGGUUGUGCACAAUACAUUGUACGAAAGAUUGAUUCCCCUAAGUACGUGGAGUCCUUAUAGUCAUAUGACUGUUAAAGUUAAAGUUGAAAGAUUACUUAUAACUGUGGACAGGGUUCAUGGUCAUUUGACCCUCAGUAGUUUAUUUAAGAAUGUUAAUAGAACAAAUUAUUCAGUUCUAUUGAGCCUAUGAGUUGGCAAGUAUUGAAAUGUUAAUAGAACAAAUUAUUCAGUUCUAUUGAGCCUAUGAGUUGGCAAAUGUUGAAAUAUUAAUAGAACAUACCAUUCAAUUCUAUUGAGCCUAUGAGUUGGCAAGUAUUGAAAUGUUAAUAGAACAUAUUAUUCAGUUCUAUUGAGCCUAUUAUUUGGCAAAUGUUGUAAAGAUAAUUAUUCUUAUCUCAAGUGAGCUUUGUUUGCUCACUCUUACAUAUUUAUACAUUUAUUGCAGCUAUGAAUGAGAAGGUAGAUAAACCUACAACUAGCAAAAGAAAGGGAAAAAUGUACAAGUGAUGAAGACUUGUAAUUUUGUUUUAUCAUUGACGAUAGACUUUUAAUAAUGAUGUGAUGUAAUAAUUUUAUUUCCACAGUUGAAUGAUUGUAUUAAAGGUUAGAGAACCUGGGAGAUAAUGUUUUUAUUUAAGUAAUCCUAUAUGGGCAGGUUUUUAUUAUUCAAUUUAUUAUAAUUAGGUAGCUAGAUAUGAAUGUUUUGAUUACGUAAACACCAAAUCUUGAGGUAAUGAAGUACCGGGAUUUGGGGGUGUCACGUGUAAUCUGUCCAUUGAUGCUAGACAUUGUUAAUAUGAUUGAAUACGAAAUCAACGAAAGUUAAACGGAGAAAUUUGGUCAAGUAACGAAUCUGUAGUGAAGAGAAUCGCUAAAUAUGCUAAAUUAUGGAAAAAUGACAUGAAUCUUGAAUUUGAUUCUUGAAUUUGGUUGUGUAUGUGGUUGGAGUUGUUAGAAUUAUGUUAGGGGUGUUUAGUAGUAAGUGUAUAUCAAUUUGGUGACUUAAAGUUGAUAUUUGUAUGAGAAAAUGGAAUGUUGGUUCGUAGUAGGGGAACGGAAUUUCAAACUAUAGUAGCCAACUCUAGUUGGUGCCGCCCCGAUGGGCACCCCGCCCCGGCGGGGGUCCUGCAGUAUAAAAAGGCCUGCCCCGAUGGGGGUUGGGCAGUAAGUUAUAUUACUAUUUUCGUUGUUCGAUACAAGGAACCCUAAACUGGCCUAACCUAACUUAACUUAAGGAGCAUUCAUAAUUUGUAAACAAGUAUCAAUAUGUAUUGCAUGAUGUUUUAGUGGGCUUGGGGUUUGAGUUAUAAUCUUUUGAAAGAAAAGCUAAAAGAUAAAAACCAUGUUUGAAAAACCUUACGCCUUUUUGAAAUCUAACCUUUUGAGCAUGUAUUCGCAACUUAGUUAGUUUUAUAAAUAUGUAUGAAAUGUGAAAUCAAGGUACUUUGCAUGCUUAGUUCGUUUGUCAUGAGAUUUUAAGAUUUGAAAACCAAUUGAGUUGAAAACUUUACCACUUGUAUUGUGAACUUUUGAACAAUUAUGAUAGAUACUUUAUGCCUCUAGAGAUAAUCGACAUGUUCACACAUCUAGUUAGACACAUUAUAAACCACGCAAGCAUGAACUGAAAGAGUGUCUAAGUAUAGAGCUAUACUAGUUACGUACAAAUAGAUCUAAUACAUGCAAGCAUGACUAGAAGAAGGUUGUUUGGCAAUGUUAUGUGGUUUAAUUAAUGUUAUGGUUAGUAGUUGAUAUAAUGAGUUCUCUUAACUUGGUAAGAUGGGAAUUUAUGAGUAAAAUUAACAUUUAUUGAAAGUAAAUAAAAAGGACCAAACCUAGCUUAAAGGUUCUUUAACAUGAAUAUGUGAAGUAACUUAAACUAGAAUACGUGACAUAAGUGAUAUUUCACGUAUACAAAUAAAAGAUGAGUAUAUGGUACUAAAGAUUGCCAAAAUAUUCCUAAAGAUUUUCAAAAGUAAGAACAAUAUGAAUUAUACAUCUAUGAGUUUGACUAUGUAUAGCAUUCAUGAGUAUAGAUAUAUAUGAUAAAUGCAUAUGGAUAUGUAUGUCAAAGUGUGUGUGACUAAUGAAUACCUAUACAUGUUAGUUCCCGUAGGCACAAUAUAGAUCUAGAAGGGGGGGUUGAAUAGAUCCUUUUUAAUUUCAAAUACUUUUCUCGUUUAUUUUGUAUAGCCAAUGUUUUAGCAUAUGACAAACAUAAGAAUCUUUUCAGGCACAGCGGAAUAAGUAAAAGAUCCCCUUCAUUGAUAUAUUCAUAAUCAUACAUACAUUGUUCGUAGAGUUAGUUCAGUUGUAAGCAAUUAAAACAUACAUAGCAGUUAAUGUACAUAAUGUAAAUGAUAUAAAGUAAAAGACAUAGGGGGUUUUAAGUGGUUCAGAGACUCAAGCUCCUAAUCCACUCUUCUGCUUUCAACUAGCAGGAUUUCCACUAAGGAAGGGCAACACCCUGAAUCAAUAAGAUUCCUUCAAGGCCAGCACCCUUGGGACUUCAGUUCACUAAGAACUCUUCAAGGCCAGCAGCCUUGGAACUUCUCUAGUUCCCUUAGGAAAUCUUCAAGCCCAGCAGGUUUGGAACUUCAUUUAGUCCCUCCGGACAAGGACCCCUCAGGCCCUGGCUUCUUGUUGCUGAGUUAUUUGUUUGUUUGUUGGAGUUGGUGUUGAGCUGCUAAGACGUCUUUAUGCUCUGAACAUCUUUUGUACUUAGCAGUUUGGCGUGAUCGUCCUUGAAGUGAAGUUGAGUGUUGCAUGAUGCUCAGCUUCUUCAGUUACUCAACCAAUUCUGAUGAUCCCUUGAUGAACUACCUUGAAGAUCAUUCCUCUUGAUACUUGGUGGCUGCACAUGAUGGGUUUCUAUGAUGACUGUAAGCUCUUCUACUUGGUACUUAGAAACUUUCUCAUGCUUGCCACCACGAUGGCGUUGGUGAUCUUCUUUCUUGAUACUUGAUGUCUUCUCAUGAUGGACUUGUUAAGAUGACUGUGAGCUUUUCUCUAUGUUACUUAGAGUCUUCCCAUGAUGGACAUCAAGAUGACAGUGAUGCUCUUCUUUCUCUCGGCAGUUUAGAACACUCUUCUUGUAGUAGAAAUCUCACUUCUACAUUGUAGAACCAUCACUUCUACUUCUUUAUUUGUUUGUCUCCAAGUGUUCUUGGUGGAUCGUAGAGUGAGCCUUCAGACCUUCAUUGGUCACUCACUAUUUUCAUUGGUUAAAUCAGUCCACCAAUUCUCUAAACUCAGCAACUCCUACCACUUUGAUCUCUGAAGCUCUAGCUAAUUUAUACUCCUUCCCAAUCUUCCUGUUGGAAAGUAGCCGUUGAAAUCUCUUUGAAUUGUUUCACAGAUCUCGAGUUUCUUGGUGCAGACUGCAGAUGUGACAUGACAUGACUUUCUGACACUGCAGCUUACUAUUUCACCUACCUUGUCAGAGAUGUCACUUUUAAGCCUCGGGCAGGUCGAAGACUUUAUUUCACCCUUCUAAUUUCUUGAUCAGAGGUUGUCCUUUUGCAUCGAUGCUCUCAAUAAGCUCUUGUCUGAAUAUCAGUCUUCAGAUUGAACUGUUGUCAAUGCUUCAAUCUUCAGAUGUUCGAACUCUACGAUUCUGAUGCAUGUUUUCUUAGACCUGAUCAUAGUGUCUUGUUGACUGGUAGAGACAACACUACGAUCUUGAAGAGUGUUAAUUGGAUCUUCAAUGUAAACCACCUCUUCUUUCUCUUGUGCAGUGCUUCAAGACUUCUAUUUGCCUCAACAGCUCUUUGAUACUGAUGGCUUGACUUCUUUGUUCUGGCCCCUUCUGAAUAGCAAGACACUUCAGAUUUGUGGCGUGUCCAACUCGAUUUCUCCUUGUGAUCUCCCGUUCACUUAUCAUCAAUGGACUGACCCAAUGCUUAAUCACUUUAGCCUUGUUCUUCAGAGGUUGACUAGUUUCUCUGUGUGCACUUCAUCAGUUCUUUCUUUGUUUGGCAAACACUACGAUCCUGGUUACUUCCAAGAUCGUUGUCAUCUUACCACUUGACAGCUAUUGCACUUGCUGACUUUCCUUAGUCAGUUACUGAAGUCUUCUUCUGAUCAACUUGUGGAAGACUUCUUUUCGAAUGGCUUCACAACUUAAUCUGGAUGCUAAUUGGGUUGGUGCUUAGAUCUUAUAUUAGCUUGCAUGCCAUUCGUUGAGUGCUCUCUGGUUUCCUUUAGAUGGGAUGUAUCUUUGUAGUGCCAACCAGAGGCUUCAUUCCUUUGGAUUUUCUGGGAGUGCUCAUUCGUUGAGAAUCAUAUUUGCUCUACGAUUCUGCCUUGGCAAUGUGAGCACAUCUGUUGAUGUCUUAGUUCUGCACUCUACAAUUCAUCUUCGGCUGUGCAGACACUACGACUCCGAGAUCAGAUCUUGACACUCUAUGAUUUUUGUCGUUGAGCUUGUUGUCUUCAUCUGAUCUUGCUCGACUAUGAUCUCUGCCUCUGAUAUGAUCAGUAGACUCUACAACUCUGAGUGUAGUCUACGAUUCUUAACUUGAGCUUCAGCAGAUGUUCGGUCGGCUCGUAGGUAGGUUGUCUCUACGAUUCUGAACAUGACUUCCUCAGCAGACUACGGCCCUGAAGAAGUUCUCCUCGACACACUACGAUCCUUCUUUGUCUCUCCUGGCAUUCUACGAACUCCGAGAUCUACUAUCUUGCAGACUACGAUUCUACCUCGAUAGUUCUCGAGUUACCUUGAAUCUCCUGGCAGACUACGAUAUCUGAUGAAGUGCUCGACGAUCAGAUAAGCCUAUCUAUUACAUCAUAAGAUCAACCUAACAUGCUUGAUCUUUGUAGACACUCAAAAUUUUCUGUACUACUGUUACUAACAUUGCAGGAGGACAGAUUCGUCUUUUAAGAGAGAACCCUGAAAGACAAUCCAAAUCUAUACCAGAUACUACCGAAAGUUCAGCAUCAACCCCGGAUCGCAAUCUGGGAGUAAUCCCGAGACCUGCAGAUACAAUACCGAAACAUACAUCGGAGAAGGCCGAUUAAUCUCGGAGAUAACCCCGAGGUAUCCAGUCUCAGUCCCAACCAUGGGAAUAGCCACCAACCUUGGUGAUAACCCCAAGGAAUGCAAUUUCGGAGAUAACUCUGAAAAUGCUUGUUUUAAAUGCUAUCAGCUUCAAUCUCGGCACUCACAAUAAAAUACACUGUGCCAACCCAGCAAUAACAUCGGGAAGAUAGGCACACCUCAAAGAUGACAAUGAGGACCUUCAACAAAUGCAGCAAUCCAAUCUCAGCGAAGUCUGAGCAACGUCUGCUUAUCGGCCCAAUCCGGAAGUAACACCGGUGAGGGGCAACAUCGUCAUCUCGUCCAACACGAUGCCACGUCUCAUCUCUACGCAACAAUGUCCCACAAGGCUAACCAAUCCCGAGUGACUAUUGUGCGGGGUAACGGAUGAAAGUUGAAGCUUGAAGACCGGAGGGCAUCGUCCCAUCUUCAAAGACUUCGUACAAACUCUAAUCCCAUGCCAUCGUACAACUCUCGACAACGGCGGUCCGAAAUAGGUCCUGAAUACCUCAAAAUGGAUGCUCGGAUUUCACUUCUAAAAAUCCAAGUGGACAUUACAGUGCUUGAGUGCACGUACUUCGAGACGACCCAACCCGACCCGCCUCUGGUACACCUGCGGCACCUUUUGCCUAUAAAUAAGAGGCUUGGGGUGCUGAUUUCUGAGAGAAAAAAGACGGGGAAACACCUGUGAGCUCAUAUAUAGCCUCUUUUGUACCCACAAAAGCCCAGUGUUUACCCAUUCUAAAGAUAUAGAAGCCCUUUUUAUUAGUCAGCUGUAAGCCUUCUCACACACUUUAGAGUCUUUCUCUUCAUCUUUGCACACACCCUUCUACACNNNNNNNNNNNNNNNNNNNNNNNNNNNNNNNNNNNNNNNNNNNNNNNNNNNNNNNNNNNNNNNNNNNNNNNNNNNNNNNNNNNNNNNNNNNNNNNNNNNNAAUAACACCCCUUACCGUAAAAGAAACUGGAUAUAGGAAAAGAAAGGUAGCAGACUUCUCUUUUUCUUUCUCUCUAAAAUUUUCUCUCUCUAGAGUUCAGUGAAUUCGUAAGAAAAUAAUGACGGAAUGAGCUUCUAUUUAUAGAAAAGAAUGGAAUGCAUGGUAACUAACUCAUGAACGGUCCAGAUUGAUUUACUUUAAUUUGACGGUCCAUAUUUAAAGAAAAAUAUAAUAUAUAUUAUAUAUAUUAUUAACAUGCCCAUUCUGUACACUCACGAAAACGAAUUCCGUGAUUCCCCCCACUUGUAAUCAUCAUAUAUAUAUAUAUAAUAUAAAAUUUAUAUAAUAUAAACUUUAGCACAUGCAUUUAUAUAUAUAUAUAUAUAUAUAUAUAUAUAUAUAUAUUAUAUAUCAACUGUGUGUCGGACAUAGUUCGACCACAGUUCAUAUAUAUAAGUAUAUAUAUAUAUACAUAUAUAUUUAUUUAUUUUGUCCUACCUGGAGUUCCCUUCGUGGCAAUUGAUCGCUUUUACAGCUUUCUUUACAUUUCGUCCUGCCUGGAGUUUACCUCGUGGCAGUUGACCGUAUUUACAGCUUUUAACAGUUUUAUUUACAUUUUUUAUCCCCCAUGGAGGUGCUUCGUGGUUGGUGAUCAUGUCUGUAUAUAUAUAUAUAUAUAUAUAUAUAUAUAUAUAUAUAUAUAUNNNNNNNNNNNNNNNNNNNNNNNNNNNNNNNNNNNNNNNNNNNNNNNNNNNNNNNNNNNNNNNNNNNNNNNNNNNNNNNNNNNNNNNNNNNNNNNNNNNNNNNNNNNNNNNNNNNNNNNNNNNNNNNNNNNNNNNNNNNNNNNNNNNNNNNNNNNNNNNNNNNNNNNNNNNNNNNNNNNNNNNNNNNNNNNNNNNNNNNNNNNNNNNNNNNNNNNNNNNNNNNNNNNNNNNNNNNNNNNNNNNNNNNNNNNNNNNNNNNNNNNNNNNNNNNNNNNNNNNNNNNNNNNNNNNNNNNNNNNNNNNNNNNNNNNNNNNNNNNNNNNNNNNNNNNNNNNNNNNNNNNNNNNNNNNNNNNNNNNNNNNNNNNNNNNNNNNNNNNNNNNNNNNNNNNNNNNNNNNNNNNNNNNNNGUCCUGCCUGGAGUUUACUUCGUGGCAGUUGACCGCAUUUACAGCUUUAUUUACAUUUUGUCCCGCCUGGAGUUUCCUUCAUGGCGGUUGACAGUAUCUACAGCUUUAUUUACAUUUCUGAUCCGCCAAGGAGGUGCUUCGUGGUUGGUGAUCUUGUCUAUAUAUAUAUAUAUAUAUAUUUACCGCUUUUAUAUAUAUACCUGUUUAUUGCUUUUAUACAAAUUACAAUAUUCUGUGCGCCUAGGAAUCAUGUGAUCACAGAUUCAUCUCAUUGGAUCUAGAUUCGAUUCCCGUGAUGGACAUUUUCAGCUGUAAGCAGCUUGUAAAUUAUUCUACGAUGUCUGUAUUUCCUCAGAUGGUUUCCAUACCCACGAGGAAGUCGGCAAUAUUUUUGGAUGUAUUAUUUUUCAUACGGAUGCCUCGCAUCCGUCAAAUAAAAUCAAUUCAGCCGCUCACUUAAUAAAAAUGGAAGUGUAAAAGGUCUCAAUUCCUAUUGAGCAUCAAGGUUUGAAAAACCUCUUUUAUAAAACAUUAUUGCCAUAUCUAGCUAAAAACUGAAUUUUUACAUAAAUUCAAACCCUGUGUAUAUAGGUUCGAACGAGGCCUCGCACAACUUUCCUAUAAUAGGACAUUGACCCACACACACACACACACACACACACUCAGAUAAUAGUUUCUGAAAAGAGGCGGUCACCGUGGUAACACGGAUGUCGGGGGGUGCCUAACACCUUCCCCCUGCAUAACCAAGUCCCCGGACCCUAAACGAAUCUCGGUUUCACAGACCCGUAUAUCAGUGUCACAUCACUGGGUCAUUGUGCAAACCUUUUCUCGGUUAUGUUGGUACAACCAUUUAAAAAACCAACGGGUGACUCUUAACAGUCCCAUCGUCGACAUCAUACAUGUCGGACCUUUUUCACUUGUUUUUUCAAACAAAUCUCACCUAAAAUGAGAACACCAAAGAACAAGUAACGGAAAGGGACACCCAAAAAUCCCGACGUCGACAGGUGGCGACUCUGCUGGGGACUCCAGUAAGAGGACUUAAGCCGCUACUACAAUCUUUUCAAAACUGUUAUAUGCUUGUGUGUGGAUGUUGCAUUUACAUUGGAUGAAUGUGUACGAAUGCAUGUCUUGUUUGAGCUUAGUGCUUCGCAUCAUAUCUGCGUGUGAUGUUAGUGCUUCGCACUAUAAACUGCUUAUGAUAUUAGUGCUUCGCACAUGUCAUCAUUUCAUACGGUGAGACGCGAUGUAUGUGAAUGUAUGUUGUGUGGUCCCUCCACCAGGAGGCUAUCCCGUCGGUGUUUGAUUACUGGACUCGUGAGAAGACUAAUUCUCCGAGGCUCAGGAAAGGCACCACCCAAAUUCGCUCCAGUUGAAAGACCGGAUUAACUUCCCGUCUAGUAGAUUGCGAUGAUUUGGGAACCUUCAUGCCAAAAAGCCGCGAGAGUAACCUAAGAUAGGUCAGCCUCUGAUAAACCCAAAACGAAGGAAAGUCUCUUCAUGCUCUCAUUUCAAUUACUUGUAAACACAAUUACUUGUAAUUUCAUUCCAUAUCUAUCUCCAUGUAAUGAGAAAUAUGAAGCAAUAUGUCCACAUACAUGCUACAAACAGCUGACACCCGUUUUGCAGGAUAAAAUUCCUAAAAUGGACACAUCACAUAGCAUGUCAUUAUACACCUUCCCUAAGGACUAAACUAUGCCAGUCUUUCGCAGGGAAUCAAUCGGACCUACUACCCGGUCAAAGUCCAAAAAGGCAACAGGCCUACAGUCAAUCAUGUCGUCAUCCGACCAGACUGAACUUAAUCCAGUUUCUCGCAAAGAAUUCGACGGGUUAAGCAAACAGAUUACAGAUUUGGCUGUUCUAUUAAAAGAAUUACACCAGUCUACACAGGGUCAGAAAAUACCCGUACAUACUGAGCCCUCCACACAAGGAGGAAUUCCGGUCAUUACCAUACCAGAGCCACAGUUGGAUACGACCAACAAAACGCAUGAUGCUGCCCAUUCCACUGGAGAUCCAGACAAUGGUGACAUCAAAAAGAAAGUCCUCCAAAUGGAAGAGACCCUUCGCGCUAUCAAAGGAAUUGGAACACACGGGAGUGUUUCAUAUGCUGAUCUAUGUAUUUUUCCUGGUGUUCACUAUCCAGAAAAAUUUAAAACUCCUGACUUUGAAAAAUAUGACGGGUUAGGGGAUCCUUAUACACAUUUAAAAGUCUUUAUUGGAGAACUGGGAUCCUAUGCAGAGGAUGAAAAACUCAGAAUGCAAUUGUUCCAAAAGAGUCUAACUGGAGAAGCCCGUUCGUGGUACACAAGAUUAGACAACUCCAAAAUCCACAGCUGGGAAGAGCUAGCACAUGCCUUCCUCACUCAAUACAGUUUUCAAACUCAAAUGGCUCCUGAUCGGUAUCAGAUUACCAAGAUCAAGAAACAGUCUAACGAGUCUUUCAGAGAGUAUGCUCAAAGGUGGAGACGCCUGGCUGCCCAAGUUAGUCCUGCCAUGUCAGAAUCAGAAAUGGUCAUGACAUUCAUAGACAUACAAGAAGCUCCCUUCUAUGAGAGAGUUUUAGCCGGCAUCGGCAAAUCGUUUUCUGAAAUGGUUAAACAUGGGGAGAUGGCUGAAAUGGGGUUGAAGUCAGGAAAGAUUCAAGACUUAGCCACACUCAAAGCUGUUGCUGAUCACAUCCAAUCUGGAAAUUAUGGGAACAACCCCCGAAGGGUCCAUAAAAAGAAAGAGGAAGAUGUUUCCCUGAUACUACAGGGACAAAAAGGCAAUCAAAGUAUGCCCAUUCAAAGGAAAAAUUACACUCCCUUUCCAGCACAGUCUGCAAACCCUCCAAUACCAAUAGGUGGAGAAGUUAAACGCUAUCGAGUGUUUACACCCAUAGGGGAUACCCUCGAGAACAUUCUUAAUCUUCUGACAACACAGGAGAAAACUACGCAUCUUCUUCCACCAGCCAGCCCUAAUGGACGGGGUUUCAAUGCUGCUAGGAAAUGUGUUUAUCAUGCCGGGGCACCUGGACAUGAUACUCAGGAUUGUUGGGCCUUGAAACAUAAGAUCCAGGACCUAAUAGAGAAUGGAGAGAUCGUAGUCACCAAACCCGAUCAGCCUCACGUACAAGACAACCCUUUUCCUCAACACAAAGAAGAAGAGGUCAACAUGAUUAAUUGGAGCAGUGGACAGAGUUCCAACUUCAGCUGUGAUUCCCCCCAGACCAUUAAACACGGUGAUGACAGAUGGGAUUAUGCUAAGUUCCAGUUCACAAUGGAAUGAAAGAUGAAAGCUCUUUGCAAACAAAUUGAGCAAUUGGCGGAACUGGUGACUUAUCAGCAUCAAGUGACUCGGCAAUUAAUCAGCCAGGGGCAUGACAGCUCCUACCAAUCGUCAUGAAUAUUCCCUCGUCACUUUCAGAAAAUGAAAUGCUGGAAGACAAAGUGACGAAGAGAGCAAAUGCCAAAGACCGUCGGGAUUUCGCCAACAAACGGGAAUUCACCUAUUUGGGCCAACCCAUGGAGGAAAUCCUUUACAUAUUAAUCAAUGAAGGAAGGAUCAGUUCCCUUCUACCUCCAAUUAACCCCCGUUUGGGAUAGUACAACUCUGAUGGAGUAUGUCAAUACCACUCCCAGUCUCGCAAUCACAGCACAUAAGAAUGCUGGGCACUCCGCCACCUUAUUCAAAAUCUAAUCGACAGUGGUGUACUGCGCUUGGCAGAUACCGACACUGUGUUACGUGCAAGUGAGAAUGCAGGCCCUACUAAGUGGAAAAGUGUGGUAGCAGUUAUAUCUACUGAAGUUGAAGGGAUUAAUACUUUUCUCACAACACCGAUAAUUAAGCUCAAAGGAGGAAGCAAUCCUUUGAAAGUGUUCGCUCCCGAGCCAAUCAACUUGCCAUGCAGAGCACAAUAUCCUAUUGUUAGCUUGCGCAAGGUUCCGUGGAAUUAUGGAGAAGGUGAAGGAUCUACCUCACAUACCACUGCUGCAGUGUCGAAGGAAAAUCCACUGUAUCUUCCCCAUCGGGUGAUGAACCCCACCACCAAAUCAAAGGGGAAAAUACCCAUGGAGAAGAUUGAAAAAUUCCUCCGCACUGUGGGUCAUAACGAAGCCUCGGUGGUUUUAAGCUUGAAGGAAGCGCCACCACAAAUAUCAAUUUUGGACUUGGUCCUAACCUCUGAGAACCACCGGAAGGUCUUGUUAAAGGUUCUAGAAGAAGCCUAUCUCCCGACAUCAGUGGAUACGGAAAAGUUUCAACACAUGGUUGAUCACAUUUUCAACAACAAUGUGAUAUCCUUCACUGAUGAUGACAUAUCAUCCGAAGGGACUGGUCAUUGUAAGCCGUUACACAUUGCGGUCUUGUCCUCCGGAUAUAUGGUAGCAGGGGUCUUAAUAGAUGGAGGUUCCUCUCUGAAUAUCUACCCAUAUGCCACCUUGGUGAAGAUGAAUAUCAAUCUCAACCGAAUUCGGAGUAGCCAUACUAUCAUCAAAGCUUUUGAUGGAGCCCGCCGUAACUCGGUUGGAGUAAUUGAGCUGCCAAUCGAAAUUGGCCCUCAUACAUUCUGCGUAUCCUUCCAUGUGCUCAAGAUAGAUUCGGGAUACAACCUGCUCUUGGGACGACCAUGGAUCCACAUGGCAGGGGCAGUCCCCUCCACCCUUCACCAACAAUUGAAGUACAUUAUCAACAAUAGCCUGGUCACGGUCAACGCUGAACCAGAGAUUCCUCAGCACGGGGACAUUCCGUUCAUCAAUGCCAAUGCAGACGUAGAACCAGUUAGUUUUCAUGCUUUGGAAAUAAGUAACACCUAAUACCACGCUAUUGGAGCACCACUGCCCGAACCCCACAUUUCUGCUAAGGUGAUGUCAGCCACUCAAGAAAUGAUGUCGUUGGGUCAUAAGCCAGGACAAGGAUUGGGUAAAGAUGGCCAGGGUAUCCAGUACCCCAUUCGAUUAACCAAGCAAGUUGGAACAGCUGGAAUAGGCUAUUUUGCCAGCUCUAGUCACAGGAAUCCUCAUAAGCAUUAAUAGAUUCCUUCAGCUUCAACCAUGUGGCAUUCAGCUUUGCCUUCAAACUCUGAGUCCGCACAACCUCCAGUAAAGGUGCCAGCUAAUGUCAUGGCCAUGUUAUUUCCUAAGCCAAAAUCGGUGGAGGAAAAGAAAAUCGUUAUUCCAGAUCUCGCAAUCGAAGAAGAGGAGCGGAGAAUCAAGGAAAACGUUGUCCGAAUAAUGUCGGGCAUGCGCAUCAUCGUCCAUGAUGAACAUACCAAUAGAUACACCUCAGAUGAUGAUUGCCCUGAUGUAAUGGCCGUCAUUCAGGACAAAGAGGAUGAUGACAAUCCCUCCAUCACUGCAAUCCACCCGAACUUUACCCUUACCAAUUGGAACAGCAUUCCUUGCUUUGGUCGACAAGGGUAAAGCGGGCAGAAAUUCUUUUCUGCCCUGUAGAUACAAUAACUGCUUACUUUUUUGUACAGUAUUAGCAGUUUAUUUUUCCAGUAUAUGCUAACACUGUGUAUGAUCAACGCAUUUCAUAUAUACUAAGUGAAAGCAUAUUUUGUUUCAGGACUCUGAAUUUAGAUGUGCCUGUAUUUGCGGAUACGAUGCCUCUCCUACACAAGGAUUGUACCUUUGAUGUAGAGAUGAAUUCAGCCUUGAUGGAUCUCCAGGAUGACAUUGAGGUGCCUCCAGAAAUUCAAGAAUGGGUCAAAGACAAACCCAAACCUAACCUUGAUCAAACCACUUCUUUCAAUCUCGGAACCUUAGAAAGCCCUAAGUUAAUCCAGAUUGGUUCAGACCUUACCCCAAACCAACAGAAUGACAUGGUUACGCUAUUAACACAAUUCUAGGAUGUGUUUUCAUGGUCUCAUGAAGACAUCGUAGGUUUGUCCACUGACAUUGUCCUUUAUCGGCUUCCCAUUAAAGAAGGAUUUAAGCCAGUCAAGCAAAAGCUCAGGCGAUUGAAACCUGAGUGGAGUUUAAAGGUGAAAGAAGAAAUGGUGAAACAAUUUCAAGCCGGCAUCAUCAUGGUGUCUACAUAUCCUGAGUGGAUAUCCAACAUUGUACCCAUGCCUAAACCUGGAGGGAAGGUGCGAAUUUGUGUGGAUUACCGGGACUUGAACAAAGCUUGCUUAAAAGAUAGCUUUCCCAUGCCAUUUAUCCACAUUCUCAUUGACAAUACUGCGCAAUACGAUAUGUACUCCUUUGCUGAUUGCUUUGCGGGGUACCAUCAGAUCAUGGUUGCCGAGGAAGAUCGUGAGAAGACUGCUUUCAUCACUCCUUGGGGAACUUUUUGCUAUAGACGAUUGUCAUUCGGCCUCAUCAAUGCCGGAGCUACCUAUCAACGAGCUAUGAUGGCUCUUUUCCAUGACUUAAUGCAUAAAGAGAUUGAGAUCUACGUGGAUGACAUCAUUGUCAAGUCCCGGAAGGAGGAUGACCAUCUAGACCAUCUCAGAAAGUUGUUCAACAGGUUGCGUAAGUACAACUUGAAGUUGAAUCCAGCUAAGUGCGCCUUUGGCGUUAAAUCAGGCAAGUUGCUAGGAUUUCUAGUCAGCCACAAAGGGAUUGAGCUGGAUCCUACCAAAAUCCAAGCCAUCACAGAAAUGCCCAUUCCUCAGACAGAGAAGGAAAUACGGGGAUUUUUGGGAAGGAUCAACUUCAUCAGCAGGUUUAUCUCCCAACUCACAGCAACCUGUGAGCCAAUCUUCAAGUUAUUAAGGAAGAACUCCUCCAUGAAAUGGAAUGAUGAGUGCCAGAAUGCCUUCCUUACAAUCAAGAAACAGCUAGUCAAAGCUCCUAUCUUGGUACCACCCAGGGAUGAUGUUCCCCUGUUCAUGUACCUGUCCAUAAGUGACAAUGCCAUGGGCUGCAUGCUGGGACAGAAAGACGAUAGAGGCCAAGAACGAGCUAUCUAUUACCUCAGCAAAAGGUUCAGCAGCAGUGAACACAAGUACACUCUGAUCGAAAAGACGUGUUGUGCUUUAGCAUGGGCUUCCAUGAGGUUACAACAUUACCUCCAUGGUCACACAACCCAUCUCAUAUCCCGCGUGGAUCCUCUCAAGUACGUGUUCAACAAACCCAUGUUAAAUUGCCGGCUGUCCAGAUGGCAGUUGAUCCUACAACAAUUUGACAUCGUAUAUGUGACUCAAAAGUCCAUCAAAGGUCAAGGAAUCGCAGAUCAACUGGCCGCCGCACCUUCAGGGGAUUUCAAACCCUUGGAAACAUAUUUCCCCGAUGAAGGAGUAAUGACAGUGCAGCAACACCAUCUGUACAAUACACGCCAAUCAUGGAAGAUGUAUUUUGAUGGAGCUGUUAACAUGGAAGGUUCUGGAGCUGGAGCAAUUCUAGUAUCUGAUACGGGGGAGCAGUAUCCCGUUGCCGUCAAAUUACAGUUUGUCAGCACCAACAAUACGGCUGAGUAUGAAGGCUGUCUCAUGGGGCUAAAACUUGCCCGUUCAAUGGGCAUCAAGCGGUUAACUGUCCUUGGAGAUUCGGAGUUGGUAAUCAGACAAUCCACCGGAGUCUAUCAAACCAAGGAACUACAUUUGCUGCCUUACCAUCGGCAGGUUUUGAAGAUGGCUUUGGAGUUCGAAGAAAUCUCCUUUCUACACAUUCCUCGUAAUAGGAAUGAUUUCGCGGACGCAUUAGCAAUUUUGGCCUCCUUGAUUCGCAUAUCAAAUAAGGAACACUUGUCAAGCGUCAUAAUUGCCCUGACCAAGGCCCCAGCCUAUGGGAAUUACGUUGGAAAAGUAUCGGAUGAGCUACCUCCCAUCCAACCUCCUUGGUAUCAGCAUAUCAAGGAAUAUCUGCGAGAUGGAUCUACACCCGCUGAGGCGAGCCUGACUGAGAAAAGGCGGAUUCAUCGACUUGCUUGAAGUUCUACCUGAGUGGAGAUGCGCUCUACAAAAGAGAUGCAGGACUGGGUCUCCUCAGGUGUUUAGACAAAGAUCAAGCCCAGAGGCUUAUGGAUGAAAUCCAUGGUGGAGUCUGUGGCCCCCAUAUGAGUGGCCCCCUCCUUGUCAAGAAAGUCCUCAGGACGGGACAUUACUGGCUGUCUCUCAAAGCUUAUUGCAAUAACCACAUCAGAAGAUGCUAUCAGUGCCAGAUUCAUGGGAAUGCUAUACACGCCCCUUCACGGGAGCUCCACAAUAUGAGUUCACCUUGGCCCUUCUCAAUGUAGGGAAUGGACGUUAUUGGGCCCAUUGAGCCUAAAGCGAGUAAUGGUCACCGAUUUAUCUUCACCAUGAUCGACUACUUCACCAAGUGGGUAGAAGCAGCCUCCUUCCCCAGGGUCACUAAAGAAGUCAUCAUUGCUUUCAUCAGAAACAAUGUCGUUUGUCGAUAUAGACAACCAGAGGUGAUUGUGUUAGACAAUGCCAAAAACCUCAACAACAAAAUGAUGGAGGAGUUAUGCAGUAAAUUCCACAUCAAACAUCUUAACUCUGUCAUCUAUCGUCCGAAGAUGAACGGUGCUGUUGAAGCGGCUAACAAAAAUAUCAAGAAGAUUAUGCAAAAGAUGUCAGUCAACCACAAAGAUUGGCCUAACCUAUUGCCUCUGACUCUGUUAGCUUACAGGACCACAAUGCGUACUUCAACUGGGGCAACCCCCUACGUUUUAACCUAUGGGAUGGAAGCAGUGCUCCCCAUAGAAGUUGAGAUGGAAUCUCUCAAAGUGUUGAUCGACGCUCAGCUGGAUGAAAACUAAUGGGUACAAGACAGGUAUCACCAAUUGUCUCUAAUAGACGAAAGGUGAACCGUGGUUAUCUUCCAUGGUCAGCUAUAUCAGCAAAGGAUCGCCAGAUCCUACAACAAAAAAGUCCGGUUACUGCAAUUUAAAUAACAUGACUUGGUUCUGAAGAAGAUUCUUAACAAUCAAGAUCAGGCCAAAGGAAAAUUUGCUCCUAACUGGGAAGGCCUGUUUAUUGUCAAAGAAGUAUUGACAGGAGGCGCUCUCAGAUUACAAGAAAUGGACGGCGAUGAAUUUCCACAACUCAUCAACUCAGACACCGUGAAACGGUAUUAUGUCUGAAGUAACCAGCAAACACCCUGGUGCAUUAUCAUCAGGUCACCAGUCAUUCCGGUUCUUUAACCCUUUACCACAUACAACUUUUCUACACUUUUCCCCUCAGGGAAACAUACUCUAGCCAGCAGCCUAGCUUUCUCCUUUGCGCUCAUACAACUUAGGUCAUCCCAUCGCGGAUUUAACCUCUUGCGUUCGCAGUUUGGCUACCCAUACAUGGGAUCAAACUUCUCCUGCCUGCAGUUUAUCCUCAACCUAGGAUUAAACUUUCCCAUCCCCGUACUCUGACCUGCACAUGGGAUUACACUUUUCUUCUCGCCCUGAGGGGCGAACUAUGUCGACCUGAUCUCCUCUUCAAUAGGAGUACGUAGGCAACCAUUUCAUAUGGCCCGGUCGCAAUAAAACAAAACCAACAAAAACAUUUAUACCCUCUUCUCCUUACAAAAACAAAAACAACCAAAAACAUGCCUACACCAUAUCAGCCAUAUACAGCGUUGAACCUCUUACACCAGGUUCGAACUACGCAGACUUGAUCUCCUCUUCAAUAGGAGUACGUAGGCAACCAUUCAUGUUGCGGUCUCACCCCCUACCAAAACACAAACCAUUCUCAACGGGUGUUGGGAUUCCCUUUCAAUCCAUUAUAUGUCAUUCGGCUUCAGACCAAAGGGAUGGAAUUACCUGAACUCCUCCCAAAUAGGAGAUUCGGCGACCAUCUAAGAUGCAGUCAUACCUCAAAGAGCAAUACUAAACCAUAAGAGGGGGAAUUAACUAGGCUUCUCCUAAAUAGAAGUACUGGCGACCAUCUGUGGUGUGGUCAAUCUCAGAGAGGAAAGCCACACUCCUCUCCACAUUUCCAUUCAGAAACAAGUCCCAAGACACCAAAGAUGGUAGGGAUAUACAUAGAUCGAUGAUCCAUUCUGAACUAUCCAGAGACAGCUCAAUGUCCAUCCACCAAGGAAGAAUUCAUAAUUCAUCAAGAUCACAAACCCUGAAGCAGCAGGCAAAAUAUCAAGCAAAUAGCAAGGCAUAUCUAAAAGGGAAGUGAUCCAAAAAUAUAUUUCCCUAUCAUAUAUAAUGUUGUUUGAUAUAUAUACAAUGUGAACUGUACAUGACAAAAUGGCUAAACUAGUCUGUGCAGGUAAAUACAAGCUCAUCUACGAAUCAGGGUACAUGCGAGCUAGCAAGACCAACAUGGCAUCCCUCUCAGAUGAAGGAGGUAAAGCUGUAGUCUCCUGGAUAAGAAUAUCCACACGACCUAACAGAUCUGUAGCCAUCUGCAUGAUGACCAUAUGCUCAUCGAUAUAAGCGCUCAUCUCUGCGAUCAUACCAGUGGUAAGGGACAUCGCUGCAAUACUAUCUAUGACAGCCACAUCCCGGGCAGAUAUAGCACUAUCCCGCUCAACUAUCACUGCGUCUCUGUCUGACCUGGCCUCAUCCCGCUCAACAACAGCGGUAUCUCUACGAGCUAAUGCCUCGUCUCUCUCUAAUAGGGCGGCGUCCCUCACAUCAAGAGCAGUCGACAUCAUAGAUUGAAUCUGGUCUCUCUCAAAGGUCAUCAGAUGAAGACUCUGCUCUAAAUACCGUGCCGAGUGCUGGAUCACAAAAGUACUGGUACUAGGAGAAUCCGGAGGAAAUGCUGGCAACCCAACAGUGAUAUCCUCCUCGAUGUAGGUAUCAAUGUCCUCUAUAGGCUCUACAUCGCCUAACUCAAUCUCCGGUACUGCAAAUACUGCUGCAGCCGAUAAAACCUCCAUCUCCAUCCAUGCGGAGUACUCUACGGAAUAACCGGGACGAUUGACAGGAAAAGUAGCUAGCUCACGCUGAUCCCAGCAAGCGUAUACACGAGAUCGGUCCUCGGCUGAGAGGUAUCGAGAAGCUGAGCGCUGACCUACCGCCCCCUCGAAAGGAUGAAAAUCCUGGAACUAGUCAAACUGCGACAUCACGGCCAAUGGAUGAUAAGUCGUCACGCCCCUCAAGCCAGCCAAAGGGAGGAAAUCCAUGCCCGGAGCAUGAGUAAUGAAGCUGUAUGGUGAGCAAAGCCCCGAGCACAGCAAUAUGCUAAAUGGAUCUCGGAUAUCUGCCAAAAAUGCGGACCAGGACUGAGCAUCUACACACUCCGAUGGCUGAAAGGAAUACGACAUAGCCACCUCAUGGGAGAAACAAUACCCAUGCCAUCUAAAGGUACCAACUGAUCGCAAGUGUGACAUAAACCACACAUACAGCAUGACCGAACUCCCAGUAAACACACCUGAUGGGUAAGUACGGCAGUAGGAUGCUAAUCGCAAGGUCUCUUCCACGAUCAUAGGUACAAUGGUAAGACCCUCCCUGAGAGCUCUCACCGCCAUGAUGACGCCUAUAUCUAUCUCAUCCAUGUACCGCGGCAUGUACACGUAUGACAGUACACAUAGUAUCAGUACAUCAACUCUGGCCAAACACCAAUGAUCCUCUGACACGGUGAAAUCCCCUGAAUGUCGUGAGUAGCUAUCCUCCGCACCAAAUCUAUCAUACAGAAAACGCUGAGAGAUCACAUGGCCAGAUGUCAGCUCAUCAUGUACCACUCUGCGCCUCAAUCCUGUGAGAGUCAUGAAUCUCCUACUCAUGUCUCCCAAAACCAUGUGCAUGCAAGGUCUGUCUAAGGGCAGCAUCGUUAAACGUGCAUACUCCUCCAGAGUAGGAGUCAACUCAUGGGUACCAAAAUGGAAUACCUGUCUAUCAGCUAGCCAAUGCUCUAGCAUCCCAUCUACAAAUCCUGCAGGAACCUGAAAUGCCAAAAGGGUCAUGGUAUGCUGCAAUAAUAGAUCUACAGUCACCCUAUCUAGUGGUGACAUGCUAUCGUACCACGAGCGCAUACCCAAUGCCACCACUGACGGUGGGGUAUGAUCUAUAUGGCUAACUGUCGAAGAAGACAUAUGUGUGGGUCGUGUCAUAAGACCAUCCAGGGGUCAAUACCGAGUAUCUCUGGACAUACAUACAUAUGCAUAACAUGAUAUAUGCAUAACAGAUAAUGGAUGGCAAUAUGAUAUAGGGAAUGAAAAAAUGGUGCAUACAUUCCUAAAUAUAUCAUCAUCUAAUACAUCAGCUCUAUACAGCUACAAAUACAUGAAAAUGGGGCACAAACACCCUACUACUAACAGAGGCCUAUCUAAAGAUAUAGCGAGAAUGGGGAACAGCCACCCAAUAUCUAACAGAGGCCUAUCAAAAGUUAUACUGAGAAUACACAUCAGAAGAAGACAAUGGUCUCGAUGUCCACAUCCUCAAUCCUGGUCUUCUCAGAUGAGACUUUGAAUCUAUACAUCACUCAUUGGUAGUCGCCUGAACACAAGGUAUACUCUGCCGAUGACCUCAGUUGUCAUAAAUCACAUACAGCAAUACCUUAUAUAGGUCCGAUGCCGCCGACUCCAGGUCGUUACCGUACGUGAGUCCCCGACGAGGGUUACAACAUGAGUCCCCGAUGGGGGUUACAACGUGAGUCCCCGACGGGGGUUACAAUGUGAGUCCCCGACGAGGUUAACAACGUGAGUCCCCGACGGGGGUUACAAUGUAGAUCUGUGGCGACCCCAAAUCCGGAUACUUGAAACCCGAACUCGGUUCUCCACGAUACCAUUUCUUUAAGCUGAAUAAUACUAAAUAAUAAUACAUUCGAACUUAAUUUACAUACAUCAAAGUUUACUUCCCCAGGUACGUGACCUUCAAAUACAUUCCUUACAAUACUUGAAUAGAUACCAAUACAACUAUAACCAUUAACUCAUAAUACACACUUAUUCGAUCAGCUUUCCUUUUCCUUUGUUCGUGCCUGAGCCUUCAGGUUGCUCAUACAUAACUGAAAACAUUUAAUUUAAGCAAGGAUGAGCAUUUGAGUGCCCAGCAAGUAAUAGCAAUUAUAUAUAUAAGCUGAAAGAAUAUAAGUAUUCUCUUUACAUAACACUUCUACAACGAAUCAAAAGUUGUGAAGUAAUCUGUACUGAUAAAAGAUUCACAUAACAACUCUCUUUCAAUUUCUUGAAAUUAGGCUCCACCCAUGAAUAGGGUUUAAGAAACAUACUAUGAACAUUGUUUUUCAUUUUCGAAAAGGUUUAGCAGAAAUUCAUCCGCAAACCGUCAUAACUUACGGGCACGGAGGGUGAUCAGCCCCGUUGUACCCUGUAUUGAUCAAUACUACAUAACUUGAACGAAAUUCAUCGCUCACCCUUUGUCCGCCGAAGCGCAUAAAAAUUUUCCCAUUAUCGGGAUGUUCAUACAUGCCUGGUUCCAAACCCGAAGGUUUUUAAUCUUGCUCAACAAUAAUAUGUAAUUCAACAUAUAUGUAUACGGGUAAUUGACAAAGGUAUAUCAACAUGUGAAUAAAUGCCAUGAUUAUCCAAGUGGGGACACUUGUAUAACCAUUUAGAAAUCAACUUAACAGAAUAUAUAUCUGAGCUAACAUGUUGAUAAUCAAAGCGUACAUAAUCUGUACAGGAAUAGAAUAAUUCUGAAACUUCUUACUCAUGUCCAUUGCAUAAAGGAAAUGCAAAGGUAAGAUACUUGCCUGAUUCGCUGAUUACAAAUCUCAACUUAGGUUUUAUCUCUUUAUCACAACCUAUCAAUAAUCAGAUCAUUCGUUCGAUUAGAACAAUAUAUCAUAACACAUAGUACUGUCUAUUACAGUCAGCACAUAGUCUAAUCACGUCAUCACAUAAUCGCAGUGAUCAUACUUUUAGUUCAUAUUCUAUACUUGAAAUAUUUUUAUACAUUUUUCAAAUAUCUCAUCCAUGCUCUUACAGAAGUCUUUUCUUUCUAUUAUAGGGUCUGACAUUUGUCGGCGUACCGACAGCUUUAUCGGGUAAAUACUGAGUCUAAGACUCUUAUCCUAUACCUCAACAUCUGUAAAUAUCAAACAUUUUAUUUUUAAUCAUUUUCGAAUUUUCCAGAAAUUGAAAAAUUUAAAAUAAUUCAAAUCUGUCACUACCGGGCCUAUAGUGAUAUAACUGUUACUAUAGGUGUUCCUCAAAACUUCAUAACUUCAUAAUCGGUUCUCAAGUCAGCUAGUUUGGCCGGCUAUAACUUUCAAACAUCGGAAUCAUAAUUAAAUGAUUUAAACAUUAAACAAUUCCAUUAUCAUUAAUAAUUAAUUUAUAUUAAACUAUUAAUGAAACCAUUGCCAAAAUAUAAAAGUUAUUUAUAAUAACUCAAACUAUUUUUAAAACAUUUAUAUUACCCUUAAAUGAUUUUUAAAACAAUUAAAAUCAUUUUUAAAUAAUCACCAUUAAUAUAUAAAUAUUAAUGUACUAUUCAUCCAAAUAUUAAAAGUCAUUAAUUAUAACUUAAAAUAUUUUUAAAUCCUUAAUAUCCUCUUUAAAUGAUUUUUAAAUAAAUAAAACCAUUUUUAAACUAUUUAUUUAAUAAUAAUUAUUAAAUAAACUAAAUAUCAUUAAUAUUAUCUUAAUAUCAUUAAUAUUAAAUUAUUAAUGAAAUUAUCCUUUAAAUAUUAAAAGUUAUAUUUUAUAACUUAAAAUAUUUUUAAAUACCUUAAUUUCAUUUAAAAUGAUUUUUAUAAUAUUAAAAUCAUUUUUAAACUAAAUUAUUUAAUAUAAUCAUUAAAUAACUUUAAUAUCAUUAAUAUAUAAUUAAUUAAUGAAAUUCAUCACAAAAUAUUAAAAGUCAUGGGAAAUAACUUAAAAUAUUUUCUUAUACCAUAAUAUAAUUUUUCAUGAUUUUUCAUGAAUUAAAACUAUUUUUAAAUCAUUUAUUUAAUAUUAUAAUUAAAUAAAUAAAUACCUUUUAUAUUCCAAAAAUAUUAAAUAUUUAUGAAAUAUACUCAAAAUAAUUAAAAACUAUUUUUCAGACUUUAAAAUAAUUUUUCAUAAUUUAUUUGGUAUUUUUAAUAAUUAAAAUCUAAUUUUUCUAAUUUUUAAAUCAUUUUUCGGAAAAUCAGAAAUUAAAAUAAUUAAAACUGUCGCUAAAGGCCCCUAUAGUGACAGAAGUGUCGCUAUAGGUGUUCUUGAGCCUACCCAGAUCUUCAUAAGGCAGAACCGAGUGGCCUACUUUGACCGUGAAUAACUCUCUCAUCUUAACGAAUUUGGACAAUCUAUAAAUUGGGUCUUGUAGAGGAAAUACAAGACUACAAGAUCCAACAAUCAUAACCUCUAAACAAACAUCAGAUCUGGGAUAAAUCAGCCAUCAAAGUAGCUACCAAAGCUGUUCUUCACGAAGAACAGUUCGAGGUGCCUACUUUGGACCUCUAUAACUUGAUGAUCGUGUAACGUUUAUGUGAUCUAUCAAUUCCAGUGUGUAGACAACAUGUAGGACUACAACUCUAACACUUAACAUCAUCAUAAAAACAAGAAAUCAAGCAUCUAAAGUAUGGUCAAACCUUGUCAGAAAAAUUAACACUUAGAAAAUUCUGGGCUGCCCAGAAUUUUCUGGUCAAUGCCGGUCAACCCACUUUGACCUUAAAUAACUCUUAAUCCGUAAUAUAUAUGGACCUGAUUCUUUUUGGAGGUUAAAUACCACAUAACAAGAUACACAUAUCAACCUUUAGAACACAAAACACAUUAAAGAUAACCGAGAUAUAAGGCCUGACAUUUUCCAAAAUAAUAUUUUCUGGACACUUAGAAUAUUUUCUGGGUUUGAAGAACAGCCGGUCAAUGCCGGUCAACCCACUUUGACCGCUUAUAAAUCCCGAUCUACAAUAGCUAUGAACUUUAUUCCUUUUGGAGAUUAAAGACCACAUAUCAGGCUACCUAUAACAACUUUUAAACAACAAAACUCGUGAUCGACCAAAGAGUUAUAGCCUCUGACAUUUGGUGAAAAAUAACAGAAUUCGGUUUUUCCAACUUGUUUAAAUCUUCAAAUUCGUGCACUUUGAUGUUAUGGGUUCAUGAUUUUACAACCCAGAACAUUAAUAGACUCUCUAUUACACUACUUUAAACAAUCAAUUGCAUCAAUUAACAUCGAAUCGAAGGAUUUCUAGAAUUUAGGAUUUCCUACCUUUUCAAGCUUGAUUUUUGAUUUCUGGCUUCUUGAUGCUUCUGAUUUGUUGUUUGUGAUGGUUGGGCUUUGUUUAGGGACUGAUAUGCUAGAUAAUUUCGUUGGCUAGAGGUUGAGAGAGUUUGUCUAGAGAGUUUGUGAAAUUUUAGUGUGCAAAAUAAUGUUAACUUUCCAAUCUAUUUAUAAGCCAAAUUAAUUGCCUUGGAUGCUAAAUUGGUUGGUAUAAUUGAGGUGUAAUGGUAUAGUAGCAUGAGGGAAUUCUAGAAGGUGGUGGUUGGCUAGCUUUUGCAAAGAUUCUAGCAACAAUGCUACUAAUAAUACACUAAUAAACCAAAAGGGCAUUUUGGUUAUUUCGCAUAUAAUUUCAUGGGCAUUCUUGUACAUGGCAAUUAAAUCUAAUAUUUAAUCACUAGAUGGUAAUUCUUAUCAUUUACCAAUUACUUUUCAUCCUUUGGUAAAUUAAAACAUUUAUACAUUAACAUCGUAAUUAAACCCN